RNAcentral lists this ribosomal RNA (2093 nucleotides) under Vibrio parahaemolyticus. Its description in RNAcentral is "partial 23S ribosomal RNA". It matches the Rfam family "Bacterial large subunit ribosomal RNA", at positions 715 to 2792 of the family's 2925-position model. The record is from RNAcentral. Lineage: Bacteria; Pseudomonadati; Pseudomonadota; Gammaproteobacteria; Vibrionales; Vibrionaceae.
CCGAAACCAGGUGAUCUAGCCAUGGGCAGGUUGAAGGUUGAGUAACAUCAACUGGAGGACCGAACCGACUAAUGUUGAAAAAUUAGCGGAUGACUUGUGGCUAGGGGUGAAAGGCCAAUCAAACCUGGAGAUAGCUGGUUCUCCCCGAAAGCUAUUUAGGUAGCGCCUCGGACGAAUACUACUGGGGGUAGAGCACUGUUAAGGCUAGGGGGUCAUCCCGACUUACCAACCCUUUGCAAACUCCGAAUACCAGUAAGUACUAUCCGGGAGACACACGGCGGGUGCUAACGUCCGUCGUGGAGAGGGAAACAACCCAGACCGCCAGCUAAGGUCCCAAAUUACUACUAAGUGGGAAACGAUGUGGGAAGGCUCAGACAGCCAGGAUGUUGGCUUAGAAGCAGCCAUCAUUUAAAGAAAGCGUAAUAGCUCACUGGUCGAGUCGGCCUGCGCGGAAGAUGUAACGGGGCUAAGUAGUAAACCGAAGCUGCGGCAAUGUGCUUUUGCACAUUGGGUAGGGGAGCGUUCUGUAAGCGGUUGAAGGUGUGUGGUAACGCAUGCUGGACGUAUCAGAAGUGCGAAUGCUGACAUGAGUAACGAUAAAGGGGGUGAAAAACCUCCUCGCCGGAAGACCAAGGGUUCCUGUCCAACGUUAAUCGGGGCAGGGUAAGUCGACCCCUAAGGCGAGGCCGAAAGGCGUAGUCGAUGGGAAACGGGUUAAUAUUCCCGUACUUCUUACAAUUGCGAUGGGGGGACGGAGAAGGCUAGGUGGGCCUGGCGACGGUUGUCCAGGUUCAAGUGCGUAGGCUUAAGAGUUAGGUAAAUCCGGCUCUUUCUAAGGCUGAGACACGACGUCGAGCACCUACGGGUGUGAAGUCAUUGAUGCCAUGCUUCCAGGAAAAGCCUCUAAGCUUCAGAUUGUAAGGAAUCGUACCCCAAACCGACACAGGUGGUCGGGUAGAGAAUACCAAGGCGCUUGAGAGAACUCGGGUGAAGGAACUAGGCAAAAUGGUACCGUAACUUCGGGAGAAGGUACGCUCUCGACGGUGAAGUCCCUUGCGGAUGGAGCUAUUGAGAGUCGCAGAUACCAGGUGGCUGCAACUGUUUAUUAAAAACACAGCACUGUGCAAAAUCGUAAGAUGACGUAUACGGUGUGACGCCUGCCCGGUGCCGGAAGGUUAAUUGAUGGGGUUAGACUUCGGUCGAAGCUCUUGAUCGAAGCCCCGGUAAACGGCGGCCGUAACUAUAACGGUCCUAAGGUAGCGAAAUUCCUUGUCGGGUAAGUUCCGACCUGCACGAAUGGCGUAAUGAUGGCCACGCUGUCUCCACCCGAGACUCAGUGAAAUUGAAAUCGCUGUGAAGAUGCAGUGUACCCGCGGCUAGACGGAAAGACCCCGUGAACCUUUACUACAGCUUGGCACUGAACAUUGACCCUACAUGUGUAGGAUAGGUGGGAGGCUUUGAAGCACGUACGCCAGUAUGUGUGGAGCCGUCCUUGAAAUACCACCCUUGUAGUGUUGAUGUUCUAACGUUGACCCCUUAUCGGGGUUGCGGACAGUGCCUGGUGGGUAGUUUGACUGGGGCGGUCUCCUCCCAAAGAGUAACGGAGGAGCACGAAGGUGGGCUAAUCACGGUUGGACAUCGUGAGGUUAGUGCAAUGGCAUAAGCCCGCUUGACUGCGAGAAUGACAAUUCGAGCAGGUGCGAAAGCAGGUCAUAGUGAUCCGGUGGUUCUGAAUGGAAGGGCCAUCGCUCAACGGAUAAAAGGUACUCCGGGGAUAACAGGCUGAUACCGCCCAAGAGUUCAUAUCGACGGCGGUGUUUGGCACCUCGAUGUCGGCUCAUCACAUCCUGGGGCUGAAGUCGGUCCCAAGGGUAUGGCUGUUCGCCAUUUAAAGUGGUACGCGAGCUGGGUUUAGAACGUCGUGAGACAGUUCGGUCCCUAUCUGCCGUGGGCGUUGGAAGAUUGAAGGGGGCUGCUCCUAGUACGAGAGGACCGGAGUGGACGAACCUCUGGUGUUCGGGUUGUGUCGCCAGACGCAUUGCCCGGUAGCUAAGUUCGGAAUCGAUAACCGCUGAAAGCAUCUAAGCGGGAAG